GUACGCCUCCCGCUAUCGGGACUUGGCCUUCGAGAUCAAGAAGGCCAUACCCGAUGCGGUUGUGACUGGCAGAACUGGACGGCCAACCAGCUUUGAAGUCACUGUUGAUGGAAAAGUCAUCUUCUCCAAAAUCAACAGCCAUAGUUUUCCAGAUACAAAGAAGAUUGUGAAGGCCAUCCAGCAGGGUACCGAUGAGGAGGAUGUCACCAUGGUGGCAAAAACCAAAAACAGCUGUGUGGUUCUGUAAUCUCAGGCGUCAGCAGACGGCUGGAUAGGUCAGGAUUUGCAUCCGGAAAUGAUUCCGUUUAUGAUUGGGUUCCUGGAAACGCAAGGGGAACCCAUGAUGUCUGCUCAGAGUGAUUUCCAUUGAUGUGAACUGAUCUACAAAGUGCAUUCAUUUAUAUUUUCUUUAACAAUUUAGUAGUUUGUUUAAAUAGCAUCCUUACUUUUCCUUUUCACCACCUCCAGACAGAAAUAUUAUUCUUUUUUCAGGCAUUGUUCAUGAGUAAGGCCAUAUUCAGUCAAAGUCAAAGUGAAAUGUAUUUAUAAAGCACAUUUCAAAACAACUCACGUUGACCAAAGUGUUGUACAAUUAGAUCACAAUAAUAUCUGUUUACACCAGGCCACCAAGCCAUAUUUCGUCAUCAUAAUUCAGGCCUUUCUGUUUAAAUUCUUCACAAUGAGCAAACUGUCUAUAACACAUUCUCAAUUUGCAUGUUUGAAUGUAU
Molecule: long non-coding RNA, 728 nt
Organism: Clupea harengus (Atlantic herring)
Lineage: Eukaryota; Metazoa; Chordata; Actinopteri; Clupeiformes; Clupeidae
Source: Ensembl